This 208-nucleotide long non-coding RNA is filed under the name Pan paniscus (pygmy chimpanzee). RNAcentral describes it as "lncRNA (ENSPPAG00000044399.1)". Lineage: Eukaryota; Metazoa; Chordata; Mammalia; Primates; Hominidae. The record is from RNAcentral.
CUCCACUCUCCUUCAAGAAAACACUUCAGUUUCCCAGUGAAGAAUCAGGAUCAUGACUCUGACCAAUGUGUGGUAGCAGCUUGUGAGUAGGAAGAUGGAAGAAUCUCCAUCUCUUUUGGCAUCAUGGAACUGUCCUGCAUGGCUUACUUCCAGACUUUGUUAUAGCUAUCACAAAAAUAAAACAGAAAAAGGAAAUAAAUUUUCCUGA